Molecule: non-coding RNA, 1291 nt
Organism: Oncorhynchus gorbuscha (pink salmon)
Lineage: Eukaryota; Metazoa; Chordata; Actinopteri; Salmoniformes; Salmonidae
Source: the annotation of a RefSeq genome assembly
CAGUCAGUGAUGCAUUAAAGUACAGUUCAGAAAUGAAACUUACUUAUAAAAUGCAUUUAACAAUGCUGCUGAACUGUUUUUGUGUAUUUAAAGACAUCGAACACACCAAACUAUCAUUUUUUGGCAUAUUAGGUUGUUGUCCUUGAUCAUUAGGUUAUGUGGAAACACACUCGGAAUCAAAUAAAUUAAACAAAUCAAAUAAAUGAAACAAAUAAAAUAAAUGAAACAUUAAAAACUACAACUUUUUCUGAAUAAUUACUUUUUGUGACUUUAUAAAAUGUUCAAUUGAAUGUAUUAUAAAAAAGGAUGAAUCUCUUGUACUUACAGUCAACGAUGAGUUUGGUGCCUCCACCGAAAGUGUACCACAGUGACACAGACUCAUUGAACAGCCGUACAAAAACCUCCUGCACUUUACACACACCAGUAACUCUCUACACAACACAUUCAACCCUACCACUGAUUGUCGGUCAAAAACAGCAUGUGUAGGUCAUAACUUUUCAAAUUAGUUAUUUUAUAUUAUUACUUUUUGCUGAAUUCCCCCCUGACUAUAAAAUAUAAAUGUUGGAGAUCUGUAAUAUCUCUGACAAACUCACUAAGUAUAAGAAGCAGCCAUGUAGAAUAGAAAUACACCAGUAUUUAAUGAAAAAAGUUACAUGUAACUAAAUACUGUAGUUAAUUCCAGGCCUUCAAACAGAUUCAGGUAAGCUAUUUCCUUCCAUGUUUAAUAUUGUUAUUGUGUUGCAUUAACAGUUUCAUCAUCUGUCCUGAGGUAGGGUGUUUCCAUAGAGGAGGUGCUUUGCAUCGGCAGCUCAUGCUUCAGUGCUCUGGGAGUGUUUAUAGCCCUGUGAGUUUCAGACUGCAGGACUGAGAUCUGUCCAUCAACACAACAGAAACCACGACAACCAUGACUCUGAUCACCAUCUUUAUCUGGACCCUGGUCUGCUGCUGCCUCAAAGGAUCCGGAGGUCAGGUGACUGUGACUCAGCCUCCUGUAGUGACAUUUUCUCCAGGAGACCCUGUCACUCUGACCUGUACAACCAACCCUAAAGUGUACAGAUGGGAUGAUGGAGAUGAGGGUGUGUUCUGGUAUCAACAGAGACCUGGAGAAGCUAUCAAACUCCUGAUAAUAUACGCAAAGAAACUGCUAGGUGGGAUUCCUGCUAGAUUCAGUGGCAGUGGGUCUGAGAGGGACUUCACUCUGACCAUCAGUGGAGUCCAGGCUGAAGAUGCUGCAGUUUACUACUGUCAGAGUUACCACAGUGGUAAUGUGUUCACACAGUGAUUUAGAGAC